Molecule: ribosomal RNA, 468 nt
Filed under: uncultured bacterium
Lineage: Bacteria
Description: partial 16S ribosomal RNA
Rfam family: Bacterial small subunit ribosomal RNA
Source: RNAcentral
GACGAACGCUGGCGGCGUGCUUAACACAUGCAAGUCGAACGGAAAGGCCCUGCUUUUGUGGGGUGCUCGAGUGGCGAACGGGUGAGUAACACGUGAGUAACCUGUCCUUGACUUUGGGAUAACUUCAGGAAACUGGGGCUAAUACCGGAUAGGAGCUCCUGCUGCAUGGUGGGGGUUGGAAAGUUUCGGCGGUUGGGGAUGGACUCGCGGCUUAUCAGCUUGUUGGUGGGGUAGUGGCUUACCAAGGCUUUGACGGGUAGCCGGCCUGAGAGGGUGACCGGCCACAUUGGGACUGAGGUACGGCCCAGACUCCUACGGGAGGCAGCGGGGGGGAGUAUUGCGCAAUGGGCGGGAGCCUGAUGCAGCAACGCCGCGUGCGGGAUGACGGCCUUCGGGUUGUAAACCGCUUUCGCCUGUGACGAAGCGUGAGUGACGGUAAUGGGUAAAGAAGCACCGGCUAACUACGUG